UAGAAAUACGUGGCAAACGGCUCAGUAACACGUAGUCAACAUGCCCAGGGGACGUGGAUAACCUCGGGAAACUGAGGAUAAACCGCGAUAGGCCAUGAUUUCUGGAAUGGUUCAUGGCCGAAAUCUAUAUGGCCCCUGGAUUGGACUGCGGCCGAUCAGGCUGUUGGUGAGGUAAUGGCCCACCAAACCUGUAACCGGUACGGGCUCUGAGAGGAGGAGCCCGGAGAUGGGCACUGAGACAAGGGCCCAGGCCCUAUGGGGCGCAGCAGGCGCGAAAUCUCUGCAAUAGGCGAAAGCUUGACAGGGUUACUCUGAGUGAUUCCCGCUAAGGGGAUCUUUUGGCACCUUUAAAAAUGGUGCAGAAUAAGGGGUGGGCAAGUCUGGUGUCAGCCGCCGCGGUAAUACCAGCACCCCGAGUGGUCGGGACGAUUAUUGGGCCUAAAGCAUCCGUAGCCGGUACUGCAAGUCUUCCGUUAAAUCCACCUGCUUAACAGUUGGGCUGCGGGGGAUACUACAGCGCUAGGAGGCGGGAGAGGCAAGCGGUACUCAAUGGGUAGGGGUAAAAUCCGCUGAUCCAUUGAAGACCACCAGUGGCGAAGGCGGCUUGCCAGAACGCGCUCGACGGUGAGGGAUGAAAGCUGGGGGAGCAAACCGGAUUAGAUACCCGGGUAGUCCCAGCUGUAAACGAUGCAGACUCGGUGAUGGGCUGGCCUUGUGCCAACCCAGUGCCGCAGGGAAGCCGUUAAGUCUGCCGCCUGGGGAGUACGGUCGCAAGACUGAAACUUAAAGGAAUUGGCGGGGGAGCACCACAAGGGGUGAAGCCUGCGGUUCAAUUGGAGUCAACGCCGGG
This 850-nucleotide ribosomal RNA is filed under the name uncultured archaeon. Its description in RNAcentral is "bacterial SSU rRNA". It matches the Rfam family "Archaeal small subunit ribosomal RNA", at positions 69 to 922 of the family's 1478-position model. The record is from RNAcentral.